UGAGAUUUGACACGUCUUCAGAUAAUAUAAUGAAGUCCAGCUGCCGUCCUUUCAAGCUCCUAAGACUACCAUGACCUGGAUGACUGAGAACUUACAAACCUACAUCCAAGACAAGAUCUCCAAUGAAAGCAGAGCAGCAGAAAGACGUGCUGAGUGUAAAGCUGUCAGCAGGGGGAAUAACACAGGGCUGUGAAUGAGUCCUGUCACUGUGAUCAGGCUCCUCCUUCUAAUCCACCAACUUAGUGUUGAUGAAGACUAAACAGAGAGAUCACAGCUUCUUUAUACUUGCUGUAGCUCACAGUUACUCUACACUGCAGAUAUGACGCCUCUGUUCAUCUCAGUGCUGCUGGCUGCUAUGUGCCUCGAAUGCAGAGCACAAAAAGACAACGUGCUGCAAGCAAAAGGAGAAGAGACUGCUGCUGAAGGAGGCACAGUAACACUUCACUGUCUCUAUAACAGCAGUUUCCCAUCAGGUAAUUAUCUCUUCUGGUACAAACAGGAUGGAAACAACAGCCCCAAAUUCAUCCUGAGUCGUGUUAGUGGGGACCAAGGAAACACAGCAGACGAGUUCAAGGAGAGAUUUUCAUCCACACUGGAUUCCAGCAUCAGAUCAGUUCCUCUGAAGAUCCAGAAGCUUCAGCUGUCUGACUCUGCUGUGUACUACUGUGCUCUGCAGCCCACAGUGACAGGAAACACCAAAACUCUGUACAAAAACCUUUGGAGCAAAGACAACAGAAUACUCCACAACAUCCACUAGAGGGAGCCAC
Pelmatolapia mariae (spotted tilapia) is the source of this 767-nucleotide non-coding RNA. Lineage: Eukaryota; Metazoa; Chordata; Actinopteri; Cichliformes; Cichlidae. The record is from the annotation of a RefSeq genome assembly.